UUAAAUUGAAGAGUUUGAUCAUGGCUCAGAUUGAACGCUGGCGGCAGGCCUAACACAUGCAAGUCGAACGGUAACAGGAAGAAGCUUGCUUCUUUGCUGACGAGUGGCGGACGGGUGAGUAAUGUCUGGGAAACUGCCUGAUGGAGGGGGAUAACUACUGGAAACGGUAGCUAAUACCGCAUAACGUCGCAAGACCAAAGAGGGGGACCUUCGGGCCUCUUGCCAUCGGAUGUGCCCAGAUGGGAUUAGCUAGUA
This 255-nucleotide ribosomal RNA is filed under the name Escherichia coli O157:H7 str. 2009EL1705. Its description in RNAcentral is "partial 16S ribosomal RNA". It matches the Rfam family "Bacterial small subunit ribosomal RNA", at positions 1 to 250 of the family's 1533-position model. Lineage: Bacteria; Pseudomonadati; Pseudomonadota; Gammaproteobacteria; Enterobacterales; Enterobacteriaceae. The record is from RNAcentral.